ACUCGUACUUCUCUUCAUAAUCAAAUGAAUCUUUUGCCUUUUACUAAAGAUUAACGUGGAGAGGGACGAGCAUGACCGUUGCUUCCAUUUUUUUGAGGGCUUGUGGGAAUAAGCAA
Small nuclear RNA from Mesoplodon densirostris (Blainville's beaked whale), 116 nucleotides. RefSeq annotates it as U5 spliceosomal RNA. The transcript has a single exon. The record is from RefSeq and is a predicted model, not a curated record. Lineage: Eukaryota; Metazoa; Chordata; Mammalia; Artiodactyla; Ziphiidae.